CGGCAGCCCGAGUGGUGCUCACUAUUAUUGGGUCUAAAGGGUCCGUAGCCGGUUAGAUCAGUCUUUUGGGAAAUCUGACAGCUUAACUGUUAGGCUUCCAAAGGAUACUGUCAGACUUGGGACCGGGAGAGGUAAGAGGUACUACAGGGGUAGGAGUGAAAUCUUGUAAUCCCUGUGGGACCACCAGUGGCGAAGGCGUCUUACCAGAACGGGUCCGACGGUGAGGGACGAAAGCUGGGGGCACGAACCGGAUUAGAUACCCGAGUAGUCC
This 271-nucleotide ribosomal RNA is filed under the name uncultured archaeon. RNAcentral describes it as "partial 16S ribosomal RNA". It matches the Rfam family "Archaeal small subunit ribosomal RNA", at positions 477 to 747 of the family's 1478-position model. The record is from RNAcentral.